Long non-coding RNA from Quercus robur (English oak), 1474 nucleotides. RefSeq lists it as uncharacterized. NCBI's taxonomy places the organism in Eukaryota, Viridiplantae, Streptophyta, Magnoliopsida, Fagales, Fagaceae. The transcript is spliced from 2 exons. The record is from RefSeq and is a predicted model, not a curated record.
UCCACCUCAGUAGUGCUAUAUAGAACAUCAAUACCCUUGAGUGCUUCCUCCCUUGACCGUAUUCCCUUACUGGUAGGUCUGCAUCUAUGUAAUGAAACUGUGAUUUUACCGUAUUCCCUUCAGUUCCUUAUAUAUGUGAUUUUAAUUUGUCGUCAUUUUUUUGCUUGUUCUGUUAUAAUUUUGUAGCUAGUUCAUCAUUUUGUACCUAGUUUUGAUAUAUUUUGUCUUCAUUUUGUGGCUACUGUGUUGUUGUGUUUAAAUCCUUUUGCUCUAUAUGUGUAACUAUAAACCUAUUGAGUAAUCAGUAAUCUAUGCUUUGGAUAUUCUUUCAUGAAGCUAUUUUUGGUGUAUGAUGUCCACUUCGAUUUGUUCAGUGUAUUGUGAGAAAAACAUGAUUAUGAUUAGUUUGCUUGCUAUACAACAAUUAUAACAGAUCAAUCUAUGGUUGUGAUAUCUUAUGUACUUACUAUACUUGUUUUUCAUUUUCUUGGACUGUUGUUAUUGCCUUUAACUCUUGAAAAUCAACCUCUGCCUUUAACUCCGUUAUGGUGUUUUCAUCCUUUUGUCCUUAUAAUUUUAUAAAGCACAUGCUAAUUGUCUAACUUGGAUUCACUCUUAUAUGCCUGCUGCUUGGUAGUUUAGUGAGUAGGAAGUUCAUGUUUAAUUAUCUGUAUCAUAAAAUUUCAAAUGACGAGUACAUAUGAGUAUAACAAAAUUUGUUUAGAUGGCAAAUGCCACAAAUGAUGCUGAGAAUGGAAAGUUGUGGCCUUUCUAAGUGGAGAAGCAUUUCAUAGAUGUAUUGGUAGAGGAGGAACUUAGGGGGAAUAUGCCAUAUGGCCAGUUUAAGACAGGACUUUAGACAUCCAUUGUGCGUGAGUUUAACUUAUGCGCAAAUAAAAAUUACAACAAAGAACAACUUAGGCAAAAAUAUCAAAGAUCAAAAGUUUGACACCAAGUCUUCUCCCAGCUUCUCAGACGUAUAGGAAUGGGAUGGGACCCCAUUGCAAAAAAGGUUGUAGGAAGUGAUGAUGCAUGGACUAGUGCAAUUGCGGCCAACCAUCAAUGCAAGGAGUUCCGCAAAAAGGGGUUGUAACACUACGAAUUGUUGGGUAGGCUUUUCAAUGCGAACACAGCCGUGGGCCUCCUACAGAUAUCAUCUAUCCAACUAGCUCCAAACAAUUCCGAAGAGCGAGAGCUGGAUGCAGCCUUCCUAUCAUCGAGGGUACAUGUCAAUGUUGACGUCGAUAGUGUGGAAGACGUGGAGGAGCUGCCCACACCAGGUGAAGGGCAAAGCCGGAGGCGACCUGAAACGCGGGCAGCCGUGUCACGCCCCAAACCCCUAAGGGUCCAAAGCAUGAGGAAGAUGUCUUAAAGUACCUGUAAAUUUUUUUAUUCUUUUCCCUUUUUGACAAUCCAAUCCACAAAAAUUAUAUCAAGUAUUAACAUCAAGAAUUAUCAUAAUAAUUCUAUUGAA